Molecule: long non-coding RNA, 1069 nt
Filed under: Canis lupus dingo (dingo)
Lineage: Eukaryota; Metazoa; Chordata; Mammalia; Carnivora; Canidae
Description: lncRNA (ENSCAFG00020019052.1)
Source: RNAcentral
CCGGAGUCGCCCACUUGCCGGAGCUGGAAGCCGAGGCGGACCUCGCGGGGGCUCUUACCGCUCCGGGGGCUGCCCGGCGCCGCGGGCCUGCUCCGGCAAAGGCCGGGAGAGGGGUGGGCCGGGCGCCCCCGGGGAGAGCUGACUGCCUGGGGGGGGGGGGGUGCGCAGUGCACCCGGCUCCCCCCCUCCCCCCAGAACACGGUGCCUGCAGUUUCAAAUCGCUCUCCGAGAUCCUCCGUUUCCGUGGGUGCAUCUUCCAGGGCUCCGGGGGCGAACCCGGUGUGCACCCCAUCCCCAGCGCCCGAUGCCCAGCAGGUACCCAGUGGAGAUUGGACUAAUUUUAAAGAAAUACGCUAAGGAGCCCCGAGAAACCCUGUGUGGGAAAGGAGACCAUCGACCCCAGGCACGUUGUGCCCAGCAAGGUGAAAACCAAAGGGCACCGGCUGUCUGGUACGAUUUGACCUGAAAAUGUGAACUUUGAGCCAGGUUCCAGAGGCUUCCCCUGAGCAAGGGAGGGGGAGCUGUGACUCACGAGCUUCCCUAAGCUCCUGGGCCCCGCUGGCCUCUCCAUCACAUAUCUCCACCCACGUGGCCACUCUGUGCCCGGCCACACUGAAUUCCAGCUGCAGGCCACCCCACCUGCCACUCCCGACUCUCUCCCUCCCCUCCUGCCUAGCUGACUCCCGUUCACUUUGCAGAUCUUGGCUCAGAUACUACAACAGGCAGCCUCUAAGCUGGCCCCCCACUGAACCCUGCCUCCUACCAUUAAUGCUCUUGGGAUUUGGAAGAACAGAACGUGGCAGAAGCAGCCAUGUUUUGAACUGGCCUGCGAUGAGGGCCGCGUGACCGGGAACAGAGGGAGGCCUCCAGCCAGAAGCCUGUGAAGAACUGAAUCCUGUCAGCAACCAUGUCAGUGAGCUUGGCAUCGGAUCCUCCCCCAGCUGAGCCUUCAGAUGAGUUGGCAGCCCCAGCAGUCAGGUCAGCGUUUCCUGCCUCCUCCUGGAAGACCUUCAGCCCUGAGGCAGCCGGUUAAGCCACGCCUGGAUUCAUGACCCAAAGAAACUGUGAG